CAGUCGCCGCGGUAAUACGUAGGUCCCGAGCGUUGUCCGGAUUUAUUGGGCGUAAAGCGAGCGCAGGCGGUUAGAUAAGACUGAAGUUAAAGGCUGUGGCUUAACCAUAGUACGCUUUGGAAACUGUUUAACUUGGUGCAAGAGGGGAGAGUGGAAUUCCAUGUGUAGCGGUGAAAUGCGUAGAUAUAUGGAGGAACACCGGUGACGAAAGCGGCUCUCUGGCUUGUAACUGACGCUGAGGCUCGAAAGCGUGGGGAGCAAACAGGAUUAGAUACCCGCGUAGUCCCUGUCUCUUAUACAC
Molecule: ribosomal RNA, 301 nt
Filed under: uncultured bacterium
Lineage: Bacteria
Description: partial 16S ribosomal RNA
Rfam family: Bacterial small subunit ribosomal RNA
Source: RNAcentral